Molecule: ribosomal RNA, 497 nt
Filed under: uncultured bacterium
Lineage: Bacteria
Description: bacterial SSU rRNA
Rfam family: Bacterial small subunit ribosomal RNA
Source: RNAcentral
GAUGAACGCUAGCGGCAGGCUUAAUACAUGCAAGUCGAGGGGCAGCAUGACUGUAGCAAUACAGUUGAUGGCGACCGGCAAACGGGUGCGGAACACGUACAGAACCUUCCUUCGAGCGGGGAAUAGCCCAGAGAAAUUUGGAUUAAUACCCCAUAGUACAACGGAGUGGCAUCACUUUGUUGUUAAAGAUUUAUCACUUGAAGAUGGCUGUGCGGCUGAUUAGGUAGUUGGCGGGGUAACGGCCCACCAAGCCUGCGAUCAGUAACUGGUGUGAGAGCACGACCAGUCACACGGGCACUGAGACACGGGCCCGACUCCUACGGGAGGCAGCAGUAAGGAAUAUUGGUCAAUGGACGAAAGUCUGAACCAGCCAUGCCGCGUGGAGGAUGAAGGUCCUCUGGAUUGUAAACUUCUUUUAUAUGGGGACGAAAAAAGGGUUUUCUUAACUCGUCUGACGGUACCAUAUGAUAAGCCACCGGCUAACUCCGUGCCAGCAG